UCUUCGGAGGCGUUACACAGGUGCUGCAUGGCCGUCGUCGGCUCGUGUCGUGAGAUGUUUGGUUAAGUCCAGCAACGAGCGCAACCCCUGUUGCCAGUUACCAGCACGUGAAGGUGGGGACUCUGGCGAGACUGCCCAGAUCAACUGGGAGGAAGGUGGGGACGACGUCAGGUCAGUAUGGCCCUUAUGCCCAGGGCUGCACACGUACUACAAUGGCUAUUACAAAGAGUUGCAAUACAGCAAUGUGGAGCGAAUCUCAAAAAGAUAGUCUCAGUUCGGACUGUGGGCUGCAGCCCGCCCACACGAAGUCGGAGUUGCUAGUAAUCCCGAAUCAGCAUGUCGGGGUGAAUGCGUUCCCGGGUCUUGUACACACCGCCCGUCAAGCCAUGGGAGUUGGGAGUACCCAAAGUCGGUGACCUAACCGUAAGGAAGGAGCCGCCUAAGGUAAUACCAAUGACUGGGGCUAAGUCGUAACAAGGUAGCCGUAUCGGAAGGUGCGGUUGGAUC
RNAcentral lists this ribosomal RNA (507 nucleotides) under uncultured bacterium. RNAcentral describes it as "bacterial SSU rRNA". It matches the Rfam family "Bacterial small subunit ribosomal RNA", at positions 1017 to 1524 of the family's 1533-position model. The record is from RNAcentral.